AAUUCCCGCCAGAUUGCCUUCCUGGUCCCGCCUUACGUUGCAUUUGCCCAGAUUUUUGCAUUUUCAGUGAUUAGUUUCAAGAAUUUGUUUGUGGUAUUUGCGGUAAGUUGUUUCAAGUACCUUUUUGUGACAAUAUGCAAUUUUCAGACAAUAAGCAUGCGGAGACGUGGAUUUUUGUACCGAAUUCGAAAAUAUUUGAAGCUUUAUUAUCAAUUCCUUCUUCCCGGCUUACUUUUGG
This 238-nucleotide small RNA is filed under the name Caenorhabditis elegans. RNAcentral's name for it is "Unclassified non-coding RNA Y53G8B.7". Lineage: Eukaryota; Metazoa; Nematoda; Chromadorea; Rhabditida; Rhabditidae. The record is from RNAcentral.